Harpia harpyja (harpy eagle) is the source of this 226-nucleotide long non-coding RNA. RefSeq lists it as uncharacterized. The transcript is spliced from 2 exons. Lineage: Eukaryota; Metazoa; Chordata; Aves; Accipitriformes; Accipitridae. The record is from RefSeq and is a predicted model, not a curated record.
GGGAGCAAGGAGAAGGGGGGAGGAGGAACCGGCGGCGCCUUCCCCGCCCAGGUGGGGAAGGGACGGACCCGUCACCUGUCCCGGGAUACAGGACGAGAGGAGGGGGCUGCUCCUCUGGAAAGUGGGAGGAAGCACCGUCUUGUCACUCAGGCACAUAAAUAGGACAUAGAAGUGUCACUUGUCUGGGCUGGGAUCUCUCUGAGUAAAUCAUGAUUCAACAUACAAA